CCUACGGGUGGCAGCAGUGGGGAAUAUUGCACAAUGGGGGAAACCCUGAUGCAGCGACGCCGCGUGAAGGAAGAAGUAUUUCGGUAUGUAAACUUCUAUCAGCAGGGAAGAAAAUGACGGUACCUGACUAAGAAGCCCCGGGUAACUACGUGCCAGCAGCCGCGGUCAUUCGUAGGGGGCAAGCGUUAUCCAGAUUUACGGGGGGUAAAGGGAGCGUAGGCGGUUUAGCAAGUAAGAAGUUAAAGCCUGGGGCUCAACUCCGGGACUGCUUUUGAAACUGUUGAACUAGAUUGCAGGAGAGGUAAGUGGAAUGCCUGGUGUAGCGGUGAAAUGCGUAGAUAUUAGGAGGAACACCAGUGGCGAAGGCGGCUUACUGGACUGUAAAUGACGCUGAGGCUCGAAAGCGUGGGGAGCGAACAGGAUUAGAUACCCUUGUAGUC
Molecule: ribosomal RNA, 440 nt
Filed under: uncultured bacterium
Lineage: Bacteria
Description: partial 16S ribosomal RNA
Rfam family: Bacterial small subunit ribosomal RNA
Source: RNAcentral